GCUUGAACAUAAAGAAAUGUGAAUUACUUGCUCUCAGAUAUUGUGACAUCCCUUCUAUUUGCAAUAUACCUGUAAAAGACACUAUUAUGUACUUGGGAAUCAUUACUAAAGAUAGAGAAGCCAGAUGCAAUCAGAACUUUGACUUCAUUAUUGACAAAACCCAGAAAAAUUGAACCAAUGGCUACAAAGAGAUUUGUCAUUGAAAGGCAGAAUUUUGCUAACCAAAGCUGAGGGAAUAUCACAUCUUACAUAUGCUGCUUUAUCUCUUGAUGUUAACAAAAGGGUCUUAAAAGAUAUUGACAAGAUGUUAUAUAACUUCAUAUGGAGGAACAAAAACCACUAUAUUAAAAAAAAAUCAGUAAUAAACUCAUAUGAUAAGGGCAGCCUUAACUUUUUGGACUUUUACACUUUAAAUAAUACUUCCAGAAUAAAUUUGCUUAAAUUAUAUUCAUUACAAACCCAUUUUCAAUUUGGAACUUAAUACCAAAUUUUAUUUUCUCUAAAUUAGGAGGCCUGAAUUUCCUUUUAUUUUGUAACUACAGUGUUGAAAAAAUCCCCUCAAAACUGUCCAACUUUCAUAAACAGAUGCUUCUCUUUUGGUCAUUAAUCUACAAACAUAAUUUUCCCCCACAUAGCUACUACAUAUGGAACAAUAAAGACAUCAUAUACAGAAAGAAAUCCUUAUUUUAUCCUUUUUGGUUUACUCACAACAUACGGUAGAUGUAAUUUGCUCUUUCUGUGCCCUGAAGACGUAUUUCAUUUAUUUUGCCCCUUCUCCACCAAAUUAUGGGAAGAUAUUUUCAACUUGAUUUCUACUGAUUUCACUGACUAUCCAUCUGCCAAAAAAACCCAAAUUUUUAUCAUUAAUCUUAUUAUAUAUUUAGCCAAAUGGCAUAUCCACAAAUGUCGAUGAACUAAUAAGAAACCACUUCUUUCUGUCUUUGACAAUAGGGUCAAACAAUAUAUUAAAACUAUUAGACAUUCCACUAAUAUGAAAGCCAUUAAGACUCUGGAUUUGUGUGCUCUUUUUAAUAUAUUUGUGUUGUGUAAUGUUCUGAGUGCUGCCCCUGAAUGUUUGUAGCCCGCUGGCGAUUGUCUUUGUGUUGCGCUGUACUGCAUUGCUUUUUUAAAUAAAGGUUUCUACAAAAAAAAAAAAAAAAAAAAAAACUCGAAAUGGAUGACGGUAAGCAGUAGGGCCCAACUCAUCUAUCGGCCACUAUAGCCCUUUUCAGAAUAAUCGUCAUCUGCCGGACUUUUGCCGAUUAAACGCCGACAUAUUCUUAAUUUCUCAUAAAACAGUAAAUGCUGUUAAGUGUCGGAGUUGCGCAGAAUGAUGUCCGUUUGUCCAAUGCAUGGAGCUCUGACUCCAUUCAGUCCUCACCGCUGUUUUCUCAGUAAUACAGCAGUAAGCUACAGCCAGGCAACGUUACAGGAGUGGGCUGAGCCGACAGAUGCUGUGCAGGACUUCAUGUUGCAGUGAGAGAUGACAGACUGAAGCUCGAAGUGAAGCCAACACAGACUGCAGCAGAUCUCUCACCUCUUCGUCCACUUUCUCUUCCUCGUCUCCUCUUCUUUCAGCCUGGUGAGGUGACACCGAGCUGCCACCUCCCACUGCCUGGUCACACCUCUGCCCCCUGCUGGGCCGAACCCGCCACGACACCCAGACACCCUCCAUCCUCCUCCAUCCUCCUCCAUCCUCCUCCAUCCUCCUCCAUCCUCCUCCAUCCUCAUCAUCAUCAUCCUCCUCCACUGGCAUCAGACCUCAAAGUCAACUAGCCACAAACUCAACAGGAAACUCGGACUUCCAGUCGUCAUUUGUUUGGUUUCCUGCCAUCCUGUGUUUGCUCACCGACUCUGUAAGUAGCUUUUGUUUGAUUUAAUUUCCUUUUACCUCCCCACUGCUGCACUUGUUUCCUCAUAAACACUCCACAACAGAAU
Molecule: long non-coding RNA, 1938 nt
Organism: Amphiprion ocellaris (clown anemonefish)
Lineage: Eukaryota; Metazoa; Chordata; Actinopteri; Pomacentridae
Exons: 3
Source: RefSeq, a predicted model, not a curated record